This 5832-nucleotide long non-coding RNA is filed under the name Gossypium barbadense (sea-island cotton). Its description in RNAcentral is "long non-coding RNA (GBAR_LNC017682)". The record is from RNAcentral. Lineage: Eukaryota; Viridiplantae; Streptophyta; Magnoliopsida; Malvales; Malvaceae.
ACUGUUGCAAGGCCAUUAGAAGUAUCAGCUGCUGAAGGUGCAGGUUUGCCUGUUGCUGGUCUUACAGCUCACCAGGCACUCACACAGUCGGCUGGGGUCAAGCUUGAUGGAAGUGGCCAGCAAGUAAACCUCUUGAUUACUGCUGCUUCAGGUGGUGUAGGUCAAUAUGCAGUUCAACUAGCAAAGUUUGGAAACACCCAUGUGACAGCCACUUGUGGGGCUCGCAAUCUGGAUUUCGUCAAAAGCCUCGGAGCAGAUGAGGUUCUUGACUACAGAACUCCCGACGGUGCAGCUCUAAAAAGCCCUUCGGGUCGCAAAUAUGAUGCAGUGAUCCACUGUGCAAUGGGCAUUCCUUGGUCUACCUUUGAACCUAAUCUAAGUUCAAACGGGAAGGUAAUCGAUAUAACCCCAGGUCCUAGUGCUCUGCUAACUUUUGCUAUGAAAAAGCUUACCUUCUCAAAGAAGAACCUGGUACCACUGCUAUUGUCACCUAAGAAGGAGAACCUCGAAUAUCUCGUUAACUUAGUGAAAGAUAAGAAGCUUAAGACGGUAAUUGAUUCAAAGCAUCCCUUAAGUAAGGCUGAAGAAGCAUGGGCUAAGAGCAUUGAUGGCCAUGCCACUGGUAAGAUCAUUGUGGAGCCUUAAUCUAAUGAAAUAUUAAUUUAUACUUAAUACAGUGAUGCUUGAAGGACAUAUUGCUUGUUUGUAUAAUUAGGAUUUUUGCACUUUGAAAUUUAUGUUUAUGGAAUGUUUGGUUAAUAUAUUGCAAAAUUUUCUUAACGGUUGUAAGCUUCGAAUUCACAAAUUUAGCUCUGCUUUUAUAUGGCUCCUGCUUCUCCUUGCUUUUCUUGGUUGAUAAUUUGAACAAUGAAAUGUUGUUGGAAGUUGGACUAUCUUGUGUUUUUUUUCCCGGUUAAUGGUUAUUUUUCCUUGUAAUAUCGUUUUUAAAGUUCAAAUUUGCAAUAUUUCUUUGAUAGGUGUCUCUUAUCAAUACAUUUAAUACUUGUUGGUAUUUGUAUACUUUUUUAUUGAGUUAAUAUUUCAAUUUUUUUUAAAAAUUAAAAUUUUGCUUUAAGUUUAAUUUUGUCAAUUUUAUUUAGUUCUAAAAUAUUUAAAAAUGAUUAAAUUAUUUUUUUUAUUGUAACACAUUAAUUUUGAUUUUUAUGGUUGUCAAUUAAAUUGACCUUGGGACAUUAAAUUAUUCAUCAGUUCAAAUUAUAUCCUUAAUUCAUUUGUAGAGUUUUUAAAAAUAAUAUCUGGAAUAAUUAUUUUUUAAUUACAUAUUGGGCAUCUGUUACCUUCUCAUCAGUUUGUACUGAUGAUUAAGAAUCAUGCAAUCUAUAGUUGAUGUACGCGAUUCAAUCAAAAUUUAUCAUCAUAGUUCAUGCAUUGACUAAUCAUUUCAACUGAUUUUUUUAGCCUUGAGCAUAAUAAAUUGUUGGUCAAAUUUUACUUGUUUGUACUUGUAGUAUGCCUAAGGCAUGAGUUUAAUUUAUAAAUUUUUUGAAUUGAUUUGUUUUAGUUAUUAUAUUUUCUAAAUUUUAAAAUUUCAGCACAAUUGAGAUGAUAAUAAUUAAAUUUAUUUUGAUUAAAUUUUAUUUUAAUUUUAUAUUAUGUAUAAAGUUGUAAAUUUUACCCAUAUUCUCUUAUUCAGUAAACCUUAGUUUUUUAAAAUUUGAAAUUUUAGUCUUGAUGUAAAUGAUAAUCAUUAAAUUUAUUAAUUGAUUUUUUAUGGGUGAUAUGUUAAAAUAACAAGUUAACAUAUCAUAAUAUAUUUGUCGCAUAAAAUCUUAAAAAUAAUAUAACGUAAUUUAACUGUUGUUGUUUAGUUAAGAUUUUGAAAAAUAAAUAUUCAAAAUCAAACAAGUUAAAGUAAAAAACUAGACACACAGCUUAUAUAUAUAUAGUACAAUAAUAAAUAGUAUAAAUAAAUUUAAACUAUUAAAAAUUAUUAGAUUUCGUCGUAAGGGUGAAAAAUGUAUGUAAUAAAUAUAAUAACAAAAAAUAGUUUUGGAUGAAGUGAUAAAGUUAAAAGACUAAAAAUCAUAAUGUUCUGAGUUUAAAUCUCAUUAUUAUGCCUAUCUAUUUUUUAAAAUUUUAUAUGUAAAAGGAUAAAAUUACCUUUAAAAUUAUAUUUAGUAUAGAUUAAAAUGAGAAGUUUUUAUAUGAAAUAUUGACAGAUGUAGCGUAGAGCAGGUUGAACUUUGGGCGAUUUGCGAUGGACUCCUUUUGACGUGGGUGUUUAUAUGAAAUAAUUUUAUAAUUGAUUCCAGUUUUUUUAUUUAAAGAAAAUGAGAAAUUUUUAAUAAAUUUAUUAUUGAGUUGGUGACUCGAUUGCGAUAGAUACUAAUAUAAUAAAAUACUUAAAUAUUGUAAUAGACGGUAAUAGAUAAUAGAUAAAUAUUUUCCAAAUAUGAAAUAAAUAAUACAACUUGAGCAGCUACCAAAUUCAACAUUUCAAUAGAUUUCUUGCAAAAUCAUCCAGGGUAUAUCCGUCAAAUUAACAAUGUGGUCUCCAUUUGUUUAUAUACGCCAUUCAUCGAACUUCAUUUUUUCUUAUAAAAAGAAGCUUCGGUUUGAUCUCUUUUAGUGAAAGAAAUGGCUGAAACUCUUAUGCAUGCUUUACAAUGUGACAGCUAUGGCGGAGGCGCUGCUGCUUUGAAGGUAAAAAUCUACUUCAUUAUGAUGAUCUAUUUUGCUUGCUUUUACUUUUUUCUUACUGUUUUAUCAUAUAAGUUUAGUUCCUUUUUUUAGUGGAGACUUCAAUUAAGGUUGUUAAUCUAGUGUUUACAUUGAUCUAAGUUUGCUCUUCGGAUUCAAAAUUCGAUUCGUUUAACUUGUGAUUGAAGAAAGCAUGAAUAUUAUUUCAAUGAGUGCCGUGAGUUACUAAGGAAUUGGAAUUUUCUGGAACGGAAAUGAACUAUAGGGAAUUUGCUAUUCGGAAUUAAAAUUUCACGACAAGGAUAUGAGAUUGUGAGGUUGACUUGAUGGAGAAGUUAAGUGUUGACCGAUUUUAUUGUCGGAUUCAAAAUUUUAUUUGUUAAAUUUGUGAUUGAAAGCAUAUAGAUAAUUUGAAUGAGUACUCCGAUGCACUAGGGUUCUGGAAUUUUCUGGAAUUGAAGUAAAUUAAGUAUUUGCUCUUUGGAAUUAAAAAUUCCAAAAAGAUCUGUGACUUAUGGGCUAAGAGUUGAUAGUGAAGUUAAGUGUUAACUGAUUUUAUCGUCGGAUUCAAAAUUCUAUUAGUUAAAAAAUUGUGAUUGAAAGCACAUUCUGGAACGGAAGUAAAUAAGGAUUUGCUCUUGGAAGAGAUCUGAGACCGAGAGGUUGAUAGGUUGAUACUCGUUUUUUUUUUUUUAAAUUUAAUCGGCGUGCUUUAUUAAUACCACAAAACAAGACAAAAUUGGUUGUUUGGAAAACUCCACCCACAGCAACACUAAACCACCAAAAACAAACAAUUAAAACAAAAUAAAUUUUUUAUAUGGACCUGCUGGAUAUAAACUUGAAAAGAAAUUUUACCAGUGACUUGAUGUCAUAACAGCUUUGAAUUUUUUGUGCUUGUUACAGCAUGUUGAAGUUCCAAUACCCACUCCAAAUAAAGAUGAAAUGUUGCUUAAACUGGACGCAAUUAGUCUAAACCCAGUUGACUGGAAAAUACAGGAAGGGGUGCUUCGCCCAUUUUUACCUAGAAAAUUCCCCUGCAUACCUGGUAGUUUAUAUAUUUUGUUCUUUUUCUUGAGACUUUCUUUUUGUCAAUGAUGUUUGAACCGGAUCAGACUGGCCAGUUAGACCAGGAAUUGGCCUAGGUAUCGGUCCGGAGAAUGACUUUGAACAGAUACGGACCAGUUGAACCUACGGUUGGAUUGGAAACUAGUCAUCGGUUUAGAGAAUGGCUUUGAACUGGUUUUGAUCGGGAACCAGUACUGACCAGUUCAACAGAUUAAAAAACUAGUUGAACCGAGUUUUUUGAGUUUUUGAGUUUUUUUAAUUGAACCAAUCGAAUUGAUCGCAUCAGCGAACGAGUGGCCUGGUUUCUAAAACACUAUUGUUAAGUAUAUCUCAAGUUACGUGAGUCUUCACAAUCUGUUUUUGUUGUAUUACUAUGUUGAAUUCCCUAGCAGGGCUUUCUAAAAAUUUUACUUAGUAUCUGCCGGAUUAUUGAACUUGUAAUCUAAUUUGCGUCGAUUUACAUUGUGGAGUUUGCUUUAGAGGUAACUAUUGAUGGGAAAAAAAUGUGUCUAUUUAACUCAAGUUAUCAUUAAAGGACAGAAUUUGUCUAUCUGUUAAGGCAUAUCCUUUUUCUAUAAUUAACCAACAUAAUAAUAAGCUGGUUGGCAGGUCUCGUAGUUUAAGCAGUUGUGGUUAUUGAUGGUAAUUUUUGGCACCCUCUUGUCAUGGAAGAUUUGAUAUCUCAAAUAUUUUUUUUUUGCAGCUAGUGAUGUAGCAGGAGAAGUCGUAAAGGUUGGACCAGGAGUUACAAAUUUCAAAGCUGGGGAUAAAGUUGUAGCUACGCUUCAUCAUUUUGUAAGUUCUCGUUCUCAUUCUUAAUCCCCCCCCUCCCCAAGUCAGCAUAAAAAGUCUGGCCUGUAGGCUUAGUUUUCAGAAUCAGAUAGGUGGUUGAACUGAUGAUACCACCAUUUUGAUUAAAUAAUUAAUUAAAAAAUAUAUAAAAUAAAAAAUCUGAUUUAAGCGGUCCAACCAAUCCGUAUUGAUUCCUGAGUUAAAAGGUUCAAAGCCUUCUUCCGGAUAGGUACUCUAGCUGGAUCUUGGCCCAACGGUCGGAUCGGCUGGUCUAAUCUGGUUCAAACAAUCUUGCCGGCAUGUCAUUAAUCAUUCUGAGAACAAUCAGAAGGAGAUUUCUUCUUCAAGAGUGGAAGAAUCACCGGUAUUUUACUAGCUUAAUGGAUCACAAUUUGAAAAACAGUCAAUGAUAUUUGUAUUUUUGGUAUUAGCUCGAGUAAUUAAUUGGGCGUUGAGCUUGGUAGGACUUUAGGCAACAAUUCUUGAGGUAAAAUAUGGAUCUCCUCAUGGCCAAAAGAUCAACUUUUGAAUCCAGCAAUGAUGGAAUGCGCGUAAAUUGUAGCCCCAUAAAAAGAAAUUCCAAGGACUAGUGCUACAUUUUUUGUUCUAAUAAACCAUGUUGGUCUUCCAAUGAGUGAUCUUGAUUAGCUUAGUCAUGAGAACCGCUUAGCAUUGACCUGCUUGCCUGUUUGGAUUAAUCGGUAUCGUGUUUAGAAUGCAACCAUCCUUUGUCUAUGUGACUAUCAUUACUCUCAUUAUCUCGCCAUUUGGCUGAGAGAAACCUAGAUAUCCUUACUGCAGUCCAGUGGUUCAGUGAAUUUAUCUUCUAUUCAUAUUAUCAGCGAAUCAGUAUCAGUUAUUUCGAUUGCUAUGACUAUCUUCUAUAAUGAAUUAUAUUUACAAUGAUAGACCGGAGGUGGACUAGCUGAAUAUGCUGUGGCUAAGGAGAAUCUGACAGUUGCAAGGUCACCAGAAGUAUCAGCUGCCGAAGGUGCAGGUUUGCCUGUUGCUGGUCUCACAGCUCACCAGGCACUCACCCAGGCAGCUGGGGUCAAGCUUGACGGAAGUGGCCAGCAAGUAAACCUCUUGAUUACUGCUGCUUCAGGUGGUGUAGGUCAUUACGCAGUUCAACUAGCAAAGCUUGGAAACACACAUGUAACAGCCACUUAUGGGGCUCGUAAUCUGGAUUUUGUCAAAAGCCUUGGAGCACGAGGUUCUUGACUACAAGACUCCCGACGGGGCGGCUCUAAAAAGCCCUUCGGGUCGCAAAUAUGAUGCAGUGAUCCACUGUGCAGCGGGCAUUCCUUGGUCUAC